AUUCAUUCCCAAGUUAUACGUUGACAUCAACUCAAAUCGUUUUUGUUAUCGUAUCUACGUUAGUUUUUGUUACUGCGACCGAGUUACUUAUUCAUUCUCUUAGAGUUUUAUCGGCAUAAGAUCAGAACGCCACAGAUUAUAUCAGAGGCUGCAGUUCAACUAUCAUGAUCUCAUUACUUCCCCUUUUAGUAUCUGCACUGGAUUUAGGUGCGAUAUUCUUCACUGUACGAAUGAUGCAGAGAUGUUUCAGAGACAAAAAGAAGCAAAGGUUUAUUAAAAAGUGUAAAAUAUUGGGCUCUUUUCAGUGCGUUUGUCAAGUCACAAUUCUUUUCUCGGAUGUCACAGAAUCAUGGAAUGGUUUCAGUGUUCAAGGCAAAGAUUCCUGCAAUGUCUUCAGGGUGUUGUCCCUUUCUAUGACGUUCUUCCAAACUGGCAACUUAACGGCGAUCUUAACAGUCUAUCGCGAACACUCUGUAGGAUACGAGAACCGGGAUUUAAAUUCAAAUCUCCGAAUGUUUGCAGUGCUCAUUUUGGGUUUCGCUGGCUCUUUAAUGAUAUGGUGGCACAAUUGUUUCGCUAAAGCAGUCGUUUCUCAAGCAGCCCUCGAAGUUGCUUUGUUUCUGACGAUGUUACUGAUUUUUUUGCUACUUGUUGUGGCUCUGGUCAAAAACAAUGAUGAAGAUAACUUGAAAACCACUUCACCAGAAUCAGACAUGGCGACACAUUCGUGCUCUCUGCUAUGGAAGUUACUUAGAGUUAACAAGAAGCCUCUCUUCUUCAUAGUUUUAAUAUUUUCUUGUUUAGGUGCAUUGAUACGCAGGCUUCCCUGUUCGAUACCACUUCUUUGCCAGGACUUUGACCGAGGAAUAUUAUUGGACGCAGUCCUUUAUUCCUUGAUUACCAAGUUUGUUGUGGGAAUAGUUUUACCCAUAAUACUGCAUGAUUUGAUUAAUUCGAGCGAUCUAGACAGAGAGAUAAAGGGAUAGACAAUGUUACUUAAAGACAAACUCAAAACUUGACGAUGAGCAGUGUUACUGAAGCAGAAGUUCGUUAUAUGGAGCUCGCGUUCUUGAACUGACCCUGUCAUAGAGUUUUAAGUUUCCCUUGGAAAUGUGACAGGUUGAUUACAAAAAUUGAAUACGUCCCUAAUUCAAUUCGUAUUCACAUAGUUGCAAACACUGAAAAACCAUCCAAUUUUUUUUCUCCACAUUUUUAUUUCAAUUAAUAGAUACAAAUACACAUUGUAACACAUGUCAAUGGCUAUUUCUUAUUCAAUACAAACGAAAGUUGUGUAACGAA
This is a long non-coding RNA of Pocillopora damicornis (cauliflower coral), 1299 nucleotides long. RefSeq lists it as uncharacterized. The record is from RefSeq and is a predicted model, not a curated record. NCBI's taxonomy places the organism in Eukaryota, Metazoa, Cnidaria, Anthozoa, Scleractinia, Pocilloporidae.